RNAcentral lists this long non-coding RNA (469 nucleotides) under Gossypium raimondii (Peruvian cotton). Its description in RNAcentral is "long non-coding RNA (GRAI_LNC002957)". Lineage: Eukaryota; Viridiplantae; Streptophyta; Magnoliopsida; Malvales; Malvaceae. The record is from RNAcentral.
UUUUUUAUUUCUUUUAAAUUUCGCAAGCAUAUUUUAUUUUUGCUUCAAUUUAGCCCAUCGUUGCGCAGCAAUUUGGAAGGCGGGAAUAAUUUCCCUUUUGGUCCUCCAUUGUUGCUUGCGUAUUCAAGUUGGGCCCUCUCUUUUUUUAUUUCUGAUUUUUACCCCGUUUUUUAUUAAACUUUAAUUUAGUCCUUUUUCCUUUUUAAUAUAAUUUCAGCCCUAUUUUGUUUUAAAUUUUUUUUAUAUUUCGAGGGCAAUUAAGUUUCUUUUUGUUUUUUCCCUGUCUUGUUUCUAAUAUUUUAUUUAUUUAUUUAUUUUACUUACUCCUUUAGUUUUUUUUUUAUCGUUUUUGUUUUAUAUUUUGUUUUAUUUUAUUAUCAUUCUAAUCUUCAUUACUACUAUUACUAUUGUUAAUAUUAUUAUUAUUAUGAUUAUUACCAUUGUUAUUAUAUUUUUAUAUCAAUUUGUC